AACCCUAAUUAAUAAACCUCGGCGUAAAGAGUGUUUAAAAUCAAACAAAAUAAGAUUAAAUUUUACCUAAGUCGUAAAAAACAUCAGGUAAAAAUAAACUCAUUAACGAAAGUAAUCUUAACAAACAUAAAAACACCAAAGCUGAGACCCAAACUGGGAUUAGAUACCCCACUAUGCUCAGCCAUAAACACAAAUAUUUAACAACAAAAAUAUUCGCCAGAGAACUACUAGCAACAGCUUAAAACUCAAAGGACUUGGCGGUGCUUUAAACCCAUCUAGAGGAGCCUGUUCUAUAAUCGAUAAACCCCGAUAAACCUCACCACUUCUCGCUAAUU
RNAcentral lists this ribosomal RNA (335 nucleotides) under Proechimys cuvieri (Cuvier's spiny rat). Its description in RNAcentral is "partial 12S ribosomal RNA". It matches the Rfam family "Bacterial small subunit ribosomal RNA", at positions 537 to 989 of the family's 1533-position model. The record is from RNAcentral. Lineage: Eukaryota; Metazoa; Chordata; Mammalia; Rodentia; Echimyidae.